RNAcentral lists this long non-coding RNA (1203 nucleotides) under Homo sapiens (human). RNAcentral's name for it is "HSALNT0220526". Lineage: Eukaryota; Metazoa; Chordata; Mammalia; Primates; Hominidae. The record is from RNAcentral.
GCAACCAUAGCCCAAGGGCUGCUCUGUCUAUGGAGUAGCCAUUCUUUAUUCCUUUACUUUCUUAAUAAACUUGCUUUCGCUUUACUCCAUCAACUCACCCUGAAUUCUUUUUUGAGUGAGAUCCAAGAACCCUUUCUGGGGGUCUGGAUCAGGACCCCUGUCCAGUAACACUAACUUGAAAGGACAUUUGGAAAUGUAAUGUAGCUGUGAGCCUAGAAGGAUGGGGAAAGAAUUUGUGCAUUUGAACUUCAGUGGACUCCCUAUUUUCAUGGCUUUCUGGACUUUAAACUUACUGCUGAUUGAUUGAAAAAGCUUAUAUCUACUACUUUAUAUUAAGUGAGUCUCCAUGGCUACAGUUUGCUGAAGUGUGUUGCUGAGAAAUUGAUGAGAGGAAACCUCAACACAUGCCAGUGCUGCUUCCUUCAGGUUGAUUCAACAGAAGUUUAUUCCACCCAGAUCCUAUGUGCUGUGCCUGGAUGUGCCUCUGGAGAGCAUCGAACUAUCUCUGUAUAUGGACAGGUUUUCACUCAAUUUUUUAAAUCCCAAAGCAGUGUCAUGGAAUUUUAGAAUUAAAAAAAGGACCUUCAGGCUGGGCGCGGUGGCUCAUGCCGGUAAUCCCAGCACUUUGGGAGGCCGAGGUGGGCAGAUUGCCUGAGGUCAGCAGUUGGAGGCCAGUCUGGCCAACAUGGUGAAACCCUGUGUCUACUAAAAAUACACAAAAAUUAGCCGGGUGUGGUGGCAUGCACCUGUAAUCCCAGCUACUCGGGAGGCUGAGGCAGGGGAAUUGUUUCAACUAGGGAGGUGAAGGUUGCAGUGAGCCAAGAUGGUAUUCCAGCGUGGGCGACAAAGCGAGACUCCAUCUCAAAAACAAAAUAAAGGACCUUAGAGGUUAAAAUCUUUCACUCAUUGUAGGAGUCUUCUACAAUAUGCCUGGAAAGUUUUUACCAGUCUUAAAGCUUGACUGCUUUCUAUCAUGUAAACAUCUAAAAUAGGCAUCAUAUUCCUUUGCUAGGUAGCUCCAAUAAUUAUUUUGCUCAUAAAAUAUUAAGACAAAGUUUGUAUCCCUGGAAUACAUUUAAUGCCUCAAUUUUGAAAAAGUCAUUACUGUGCUCCAUGAGUAUUAGGUAUAACUGGAAAAUUGUUUAUAUUAUUAGCUGGAUAUGAUGUAUUUUUAGACACUCAAUAAAAAUUGUACAUAAUGUG